Molecule: ribosomal RNA, 253 nt
Filed under: uncultured bacterium
Lineage: Bacteria
Description: partial 16S ribosomal RNA
Rfam family: Bacterial small subunit ribosomal RNA
Source: RNAcentral
UACAGAGGUGGCAAGCGUUGUUCGGAAUUACUGGGCGUAAAGGGCGCGUAGGCGGCCUUAUAAGUCUCGUGUGAAAGCCCUCGGCUUAACUGAGGAUCUGCACGGGAUACUGUAGGGCUCGAGUUCGGGAGAGGAAAGCGGAAUUCCGGGUGUAGCGGUGAAAUGCGUAGAUAUCCGGAGGAACACCAGUGGCGAAGGCGGCUUUCUGGACCGACACUGACGCUGAGGCGCGAAAGCGUGGGGAGCGAACAGG